Molecule: ribosomal RNA, 407 nt
Filed under: uncultured bacterium
Lineage: Bacteria
Description: partial 16S ribosomal RNA
Rfam family: Bacterial small subunit ribosomal RNA
Source: RNAcentral
GACGAACGCUGGCGGCGUGCCUAAUACAUGCAAGUAGGACGCAGUUGCGAACGGGUGAGUAACGCGUAGGUAACUAGCUAUUAGAGGGGGAUAAAUAUUGGAAACGAUAGCUAAUAACGCAUACUAGUAGAUGGACCUAGGUUGUAUUAGCUAGGAGGUAGGGUAAUGGCCUACCUAGGCAACGAUACAUGGCCGACUUGAGAGGGGGAUCGGCCAAACUGGGACUGUGACACGGCCCAGACUCCUACGGGAGGGAGCAGUAGGGAAUCUUCGGCAAUGGGGGGAACCCUGACCGAGCAACGGCGCGGGAGUGAAGAAGGGUUUCGGAUCGGAAAGCUCUGUUGUUAAGGAAGCGGUACUUAACCAGAAAGGGACGGCUAACUACGUGCCAGCAGCCGCGGUAAUAC